AGUGAACGCUGGCGGCAGGCCUAACACAUGCAAGUCGAGCGGCAGCGGGUCCCCGCGAGGGGAUGCCGGCGAGCGGCGGACGGGUGAGGAACACAUCGGAAUCUGCCUGGUUGUGGGGGAUAACGUAGGGAAACUUACGCUAAUACCGCAUGCGACCCUGAGUCGACGGACUGGGGGUGAAAGUGAGGGACCUUCAGGCCUCACGCGACCAGAUGAGCCGAUGUCGGAUAGCUAGUUGGCGGGGUAACGGCCCGCCAAGGCGACGAUCCGUAGCUGGUCUGAGAGGAUGAUCAGCCACACUGGGACUGAGACACGGCCCAGACUCCUACGGGAGGCAGCAGUGGGGAAUAUUGGACAAUGGG
Molecule: ribosomal RNA, 362 nt
Filed under: uncultured bacterium
Lineage: Bacteria
Description: bacterial SSU rRNA
Rfam family: Bacterial small subunit ribosomal RNA
Source: RNAcentral